Molecule: ribosomal RNA, 376 nt
Filed under: Bombus pauloensis
Lineage: Eukaryota; Metazoa; Arthropoda; Insecta; Hymenoptera; Apidae
Description: partial 16S ribosomal RNA
Rfam family: Archaeal large subunit ribosomal RNA (bases 247-376)
Source: RNAcentral
GAGAUAUAUACUGUCUCAUAUAUAUUUGAUGAAUUUAAAUUUUUAGUAAAAAUGCUUAAAUAAUUUUAUGGGACGAUAAGACCCUAUAGAAUUUUAUAUUAAUAUUUUAUUAAUUAUUUAAUUAAAAUAUUAAUAUUUAAUUGGGAGGAUUAAUAAAUUUAAAAAACUUUAUUUUAAAAAUAAACUUUGAUUUUAGAAUUAAUUUUUGAUCUUUUAUUAUAAAUCAAAAGAAUAAAUUACCUUAGGGAUAACAGCGUAAUACCUUUUUAAAGAUCAUAUUUAAAAAGAUGUUUGCGACCUCGAUGUUGAAUUAAGAUAAAUUUUAAACGGAGAAGUUUAAUAAUUAAGUCUGUUCGACUUUUAAAAUCUUACAUGA